This 468-nucleotide ribosomal RNA is filed under the name uncultured bacterium. Its description in RNAcentral is "partial 16S ribosomal RNA". It matches the Rfam family "Bacterial small subunit ribosomal RNA", at positions 28 to 507 of the family's 1533-position model. The record is from RNAcentral.
GACGAACGCUGGCGGCGUGCUUAAUACAUGCAAGUCGAACGGAAAGGCCCUGCUUCUGUGGGGUGCUCGAGUGGCGAACGGGUGAGUAACACGUGAGUAACCUGCCUUUGACUUUGGGAUAACUUCAGGAAACUGGGGCUAACACCGGAUAGGAGCUCCUGCUGCAUGGUGGGGGUUGGAAAGUUUCGGCGGUUGGGGAUGGACAGGCGGUUUAUCGGCUUGUUGGUGGGGAAGUGGCAUACCAAGGGAUUGACGGGUAGCCGGCCUGGGAGGGUGGCCGGCCACAUUGGUACUGAGGGACGGCGCAGACGCGUAUGGGAGGCAACGGUGGAGAGUAUUACAGAGUGAGCGGGAGCGUGAUGCGGAGGCGCCGCGUGCGGGAUGACGGCCUUCGGGUUGUGAACCGCUUUCGCCUGUGACGAAGCGGGAGUGACGGUAAUGAGUAAAGAAGCACCGGCUAACUACGUG